GAUGAAGAACGUAGUGAAAUGCGAUAAGUAAUGUGAAUUGCAGAAUUCAGUGAAUCAUCGAAUCUUUGAACGCACAUUGCGCCCGCCAGCAUUCUGGCGGGCAUGCCUGUUCGAGCGUCAUUUCAACCCUCGAGCCCCCCCGGGGGCCUCGGUGUUGGGGGACGGCACACCAGCCGCCCCCGAAAUGCAGUGGCGACCCCGCCGCAGCCUCCCCUGCGUAGUAGCACACACCUCGCACCGGAGCGCGGAGGCGGUCACGCCGUAAAACGCCCAACUUUCUUAGAGUUGACCUCGGAUCAGGUAGGAAUACCCGCUGAACUUAAGCAUAUCAAUAAGCGGAGA
This 342-nucleotide unclassified non-coding RNA is filed under the name soil metagenome. RNAcentral's name for it is "partial contains 5.8S ribosomal RNA, internal transcribed spacer 2, and large subunit ribosomal RNA". The stretch from base 1 to 120 matches the Rfam family "5.8S ribosomal RNA", at positions 35 to 154 of the family's 154-position model. The record is from RNAcentral.